UACGUAGGGUCCAAGCGUUAUCCGGAAUCACUGGGCGUAAAGCGUGCGUAGGUGGAUGUUUAAGUGUGAUGUUAAAUCGCGGGGCUCAACCCUGUCGAUGCAUCGCAUACUGGACAUCUAGAGGACAGCAGAGGCAAGUGGAAUUUGUAGUGUAGCAGUGAAAUGCGUAGAUAUUACAAGGAACACCAAUGGCGAAGGCAGCUUGCUGGGCUACUCCUGACACUGAGGUACGAAAGCGUGGGGAGCGAACAGG
RNAcentral lists this ribosomal RNA (253 nucleotides) under uncultured bacterium. Its description in RNAcentral is "partial 16S ribosomal RNA". It matches the Rfam family "Bacterial small subunit ribosomal RNA", at positions 524 to 776 of the family's 1533-position model. The record is from RNAcentral.